RNAcentral lists this small RNA (84 nucleotides) under Salmonella enterica subsp. enterica serovar Typhimurium. RNAcentral describes it as "RtT RNA". It matches the Rfam family "RtT RNA", at positions 24 to 112 of the family's 130-position model. Rfam says of the family: This family represents a bacterial cis-regulatory element known as RtT RNA. The exact function of RtT is unknown although it is thought that it may be involved in changing the cellular response in relation to amino acid starvation. Lineage: Bacteria; Pseudomonadati; Pseudomonadota; Gammaproteobacteria; Enterobacterales; Enterobacteriaceae. The record is from RNAcentral.
GAGAACCUUCGAUUAAGGUUCGACUCGAGCGAAAGAACGUUGCCAACGGUAACGGCCCGUAGGGUGAGCGUUAAGCACAGUGUC